RNAcentral lists this transfer RNA (77 nucleotides) under Deltaproteobacteria bacterium. Its description in RNAcentral is "tRNA-Arg". It matches the Rfam family "tRNA". Rfam says of the family: Transfer RNA (tRNA) molecules are approximately 80 nucleotides in length. Their secondary structure includes four short double-helical elements and three loops (D, anti-codon, and T loops). Lineage: Bacteria; Pseudomonadati; Myxococcota; Myxococcia. The record is from RNAcentral.
GGGCGCGUAGCUCAUCUGGAUAGAGCAUCGGCCUCCGGAGCCGGGGGUAGUGGGUUCAAAUCCCGCCGCGCUCACAA